Molecule: ribosomal RNA, 504 nt
Filed under: uncultured bacterium
Lineage: Bacteria
Description: bacterial SSU rRNA
Rfam family: Bacterial small subunit ribosomal RNA
Source: RNAcentral
CGGCGUGCCUAAUACAUGCAAGUCGAGCGAAGCGGAACCAACAGAUUUUACGUUCGGUAAUGACGUUGGGAAAGCGAGCGGCGGAUGGGUGAGUAACACGUGGGGAACCUGCCCCUAAGUCUGGGAUACCAGUUUGGAAACAGGUGCUAAUACCGGAUAAUAAAGCAGAUCGCAUGAUCAGCUUUUGAAAGGCGGCGUAAGCUGUCGCUAAGGGAUGGCCCCGCGGUGCAUUAGCUAGUUGGUAAGGUAACGGCUUACCAAGGCGACGAUGCAUAGCCGAGUUGAGAGACUGAUCGGCCACAUUGGGACUGAGACACGGCCCAAACUCCUACGGGAGGCAGCAGUAGGGAAUCUUCCACAAUGGGCGCAAGCCUGAUGGAGCAACACCGCGUGAGUGAAGAAGGGUUUCGGCUCGUAAAGCUCUGUUGUUGGAGAAGAACGUGCGUGAGAGUAACUGUUCACGCAGUGACGGUAUCCAACCAGAAAGUCACGGCUAACUACGUG